Non-coding RNA from Lysinibacillus sphaericus OT4b.31, 183 nucleotides. The record is from Rfam. Lineage: Bacteria; Bacillati; Bacillota; Bacilli; Caryophanales; Bacillaceae.
CACAACUGAUUAACCGAAAUUCGGAAUGAAAGCCGUCAUGUUGAGCUGAAACGAAUUAUCUGAUACUCCUACAUGCAUGGAAUGGUAAUAGACAGGACGUGUAUGAAGCUAGGUAAAGUCGGCUGAAGAGUACCUAAGUCGCUAAGAAAGGAUAUGGUUCUCGAUAGGUCGGGAUGCUACAAA